This 487-nucleotide long non-coding RNA is filed under the name Struthio camelus australis. RNAcentral's name for it is "lncRNA (ENSSCUG00000010261.1)". Lineage: Eukaryota; Metazoa; Chordata; Aves; Struthioniformes; Struthionidae. The record is from RNAcentral.
CUACACAAGAAAAGCUCAAAAAAUGAGAGUAGGCACGGAGCAGCCUAAGGUGCAAGACAGAUCCAGAAAAUGGUGAUAAUUUCUUGGAGAUUGUUGCAGGGAAGCUAAUAAAUACCUGGCUAUAUGCAAAUGCCAUUUUUAGGAGGCAGCACGCGUCAUAGAACUGGAGUAUGAGUUAGGAUCAUCCGAUCUGACUUUCCAGGCCUCACCAAGUCAUGUAACAAAGGAAAGUACCCAAUAGCUGUUUCCUAGCUGUGGGAGAAGGCUGUGCUGCUGUCAUGCAGACAGAAGUUGAGUCCAUCUUUACUACUUAAUACUGCUAAGCCAAUUAUAUUUUAUGAGUAUGCUUUCUUAUAUUAAUCUGAGAUUUUUUCCUUAUUAACCAAGAAUUCAUCAUGAUACUAGUUCUCCCUGCCCUUGUCAUCUGAUCUUUACCUGUCUUUAAGUACUGCUUAAAUACUCUUCUGAUGGCUCUAUAAUUGAGGAA